Molecule: ribosomal RNA, 417 nt
Filed under: Arenicellales bacterium
Lineage: Bacteria; Pseudomonadati; Pseudomonadota; Gammaproteobacteria; Arenicellales
Description: bacterial SSU rRNA
Rfam family: Bacterial small subunit ribosomal RNA
Source: RNAcentral
GAACUGGAGAGUUUGAUCCUGGCUCAGAUUGAACGCUGGCGGUAGGCCUAACACAUGCAAGUCGAACGGUAACGGACCGCUGGGAUUCCUUCGGGAUGACCUUGGUGCCGACGAGUGGCGGACGGGUGAGUAACACGUAGGAAUCUGCCAAACAGUGGGGGACAACCCGGAGAAAUCCGGGCUAAUACCGCAUACGCCCUACGGGGGAAAGCGGGGGAUCUUCGGACCUCGCGCUGUUGGAGGAGCCUGCGUCGGAUUAGUUUGUUGGUGAGGUAACGGCUCACCAAGGCGACGAUCCGUAGCUGGUCUGAGAGGAUGAUCAGCCACACUGGGACUGAGACACGGCCCAGACUCCUACGGGAGGCAGCAGUGGGGAAUAUUGCACAAUGGGCGAAAGCCUGAUGCAGCCAUACCGCG